This 492-nucleotide ribosomal RNA is filed under the name uncultured bacterium. RNAcentral describes it as "partial 16S ribosomal RNA". It matches the Rfam family "Bacterial small subunit ribosomal RNA", at positions 30 to 507 of the family's 1533-position model. The record is from RNAcentral.
AGUGAACGCUGGCGGUAGGCCUAACACAUGCAAGUCGAACGGCAGCACAGUAAGAGCUUGCUCUUACGGGUGGCGAGUGGCGGACGGGUGAGGAAUACAUCGGAAUCUACUUUUUCGUGGGGGAUAACGUAGGGAAACUUACGCUAAUACCGCAUACGACCUACGGGUGAAAGCAGGGGAUCUUCGGACCUUGCGCGAUUGAAUGAGCCGAUGUCGGAUUAGCUAGUUGGCGGGGCAAAGGCCCACCAAGGCGACGAUCCGUAGCUGGUCUGAGAGGAUGAUCGGCCACACUGGAAGUGAGACGGGGUCCAGACUCCUACGGGAGGCAGCAGUGGGGAAUAUUGGGCAAGGGGGGCAAGCCGGAUCCAGCAAUAGCGCGUGGGUGAAGAAGGCGUUCGGGUUGUAAAGCCCUGUUGUUGGGAGAGAAAAGCAGCAGGUUGAUACGCGGCGGUUAUGACGGUACCCAAAGAAUAAGCACCGGCUAACUUCGUG